This 492-nucleotide ribosomal RNA is filed under the name uncultured bacterium. RNAcentral describes it as "partial 16S ribosomal RNA". It matches the Rfam family "Bacterial small subunit ribosomal RNA", at positions 29 to 507 of the family's 1533-position model. The record is from RNAcentral.
AGUGAACGCUGGCGGUAGGCCUAACACAUGCAAGUCGAACGGCAGCACAGUAAGAGCUUGCUCUUACGGGUGGCGAGUGGCGGACGGGUGAGGAAUACAUCGGAAUCUACUUUUUCGUGGGGGAUAACGUAGGGAAACUUACGCUAAUACCGCAUACGACCUACGGGUGAAAGCAGGGGAUCUUCGGACCUUGCGCGAUUGAAUGAGCCGAUGUCGGAUUAGCUAGUUGGCGGGGUAAAGGCCCACCAAGGCGACGAUCCGUAGCUGGUCUGAGAGGAUGGUCAGCCACACUGGAACUGAGACACGGUCCAGACUCCUACGGGAGGCAGCAGUGGGGAAUAUUGGACAAUGGGCGCAAGCCUGACCCAGCCAUACCGCGUGGGUGAAGAAGGCCUUCGGGUUGUAAAGCCCUUUUGUUGGGAAAGAAAAGCAGCAGGUUAAUACCCCGCUGUUCUGACGGUACCCAAAGAAUAAGCACCGGCUAACUUCGUG